RNAcentral lists this ribosomal RNA (448 nucleotides) under uncultured bacterium. RNAcentral's name for it is "bacterial SSU rRNA". It matches the Rfam family "Bacterial small subunit ribosomal RNA", at positions 329 to 794 of the family's 1533-position model. The record is from RNAcentral.
UGCCAGACUCCUACGGGAGGCAGCAGUGGGGAAUAUUGGACAAUGGGGGAAACCCUGAUCCAGCGACGCCGCGUGAGUGAAGAAGUAUUUCGGUACGUAAAGCUCUAUCAGCAGGAAAGAAAAUGACGGUACCUGACUAAGAAGCCCCGGCUAACUACGUGCCAGCAGCCGCGGUAAUACGUAGGGGGCAAGCGUUAUCCGGAUUUACUGGGUGUAAAGGGAGCGUAGACGGCAGCGCAAGUCUGGAGUGAAAUGCCUGGGCCCAACCCCGGAACUGCUCUGGAAACUGUGAAGCUGGAGUGCAGGAGAGGUAAGCGGAAUUCCUGGUGUAGCGGUGAAAUGCGUAGAUAUCAGGAGGAACACCGGCGGCGAAGGCGGCUUACUGGACUGUAACUGACGUUGAGGCUCGAAGGCGUGGGGAGCAAACAGGAUUAGAUACCCGGGUAAU